Molecule: ribosomal RNA, 301 nt
Filed under: uncultured bacterium
Lineage: Bacteria
Description: bacterial SSU rRNA
Rfam family: Bacterial small subunit ribosomal RNA
Source: RNAcentral
GAUAAACGCUGGCGGCGUGCCUAACACAUGCAAGUCGAACGCCCUACGCUUGCGUAGGGAGUGGCGGACGGGUGAGGAACACGUGGGUCAUCUACCCAGAGGUGAGGAAUACCGGCGAGAAAUCGCCGACAAUACCGCAUACGUUCUGAAAAGAACAAAGUCGCAAGCGCCUUUGGAUGAGCCUGCGCCCGAUUAGUUGGUUGGUGGGGUAAAAGCCUACCAAGACUGCAAUCGGUAGCNGGUCUGAGAGGACGAUCAGCCACACUGGGAUUGAGAACGGCCCAGACUCCUACGGGGGCGA